Molecule: non-coding RNA, 12257 nt
Organism: Meleagris gallopavo (turkey)
Lineage: Eukaryota; Metazoa; Chordata; Aves; Galliformes; Phasianidae
Source: RefSeq, a predicted model, not a curated record
GGCUGUCCAGGGAGGUGGUGGAGUCACUGUCCCCGCAGGCGUUCAAGAGAUGUGGAGAUGUGGCACUUAGGGAUGUGUUUACUGGGCAUGGAGGGGAUGGGCUGCUGACUGGACUAGAUGAUCCUAGUUCCUACCCUAAUGGUUCUCUGAUUCUGUUCUUGUUCUGGUGAGACUGCAAGUUGGUGCAGCUGCACCAACUGGAAAAGGAUCCUCUGGAAGUAAGGGGGAGGUUAGGAAGCCUGGGAAGUAUUAGCAUGUGGGAUGAUAGGCUUAGGGGAAAAUAGAGAAGGCUAGUCAAGUAGAACAGCAAAAAGAAGGGGAGUCAGGUGGGAGAGGUUUCCUUUUCAAAGAUGGGCGGAUGUGAAUGAUGAGUGUGUCAUGUUAGCUCCUGAGUGUGAAAUUGAGCUGUGCCUGAAGUCCUUACUUGUAAAUGCAGCCUGCAUGCUGGCUUUGCUUUUGGGCCUGGCAUCAGCCACCUGCCAUGCCUGGCAGGGCUUCGGCCCCUUCCCUGCAGCAGAUCCGGCUGUGAGCAGGGCUGCCAGUUGUUGAGAGCUGCCGAACAACAGGCCAGCUAAACACCUCUUUAUCUGGCAGGCUUGGCCCUGUAAACAGUCCUGCAAGAGCUGUUGGGUGCUGACACUGUAUAAUGACCCGGAAGAAAGGAUGGAUCUACUUCUGAUAUGAGCAGGAUAAAGCAAUGCUUUAAGUGCUUUAUUCUAUUCCAACUUCUUCAGCGAGGUAAAAGAUGAAUGACAGAUGCCCAAUCUUGUCUUGGGAAAGGAAAUCUGAAAACAAAGCUUCUUCAUAUAUUAUUCUUCAGUCCACUAGAUCCAUCCAAUUUACGUAGCAACUGGGGAGCAUUGUGUGGAUCGUAUCUUAUAAAACACACUUUGCAUUCUUUAUUACGUACACUACAAACUCUGUUCCUGUCAUGUCGAUGAUGCUGGUGUCACCGAGAGUGAGUUGGUUUAAAGGUUUGGUGUCUCUCUAGCACUGCAGCAGUGAGGACAGACAGACUGCUGCUAAACAAUGUUAUCAGUGUGUAGCUCUAACAGAUGGGAGUAGUACCACCCCAUCAGCAGAAUUAUACACCUCAAAUGGAUUCACUUGUUUCUAUUACCAUUCAAGAAAACUCCUAAAAAAUGGAUCUCUGUGAAGCCUUUCAUUUGCAACCCUUUAGGCUUUAAUUUAAGCUCUUGCUGUGGUGGAGGACUGUGGAAGAAGGCUGCAGGCACGCCUGGAUAGACUAGAACAGAGAGACCCAAGUGUUUGCUGUCCUUAGUUCUGCUUACUUGCAGAGCUGUACACGAGGGCAUGCUGAGGUUACUUUGCCAAUGGGUAGGGCACACUUGGGUCACAGUUCUGUGAACAUAAUUGAGGGAAGAGGCAUGAUCUGUAGCUGAGAGCUGUGCAGUUUUACCAGCAAAAAGUGUCUCAUUCUAAUCACAGCUGUGGUAGAAUUGCAUUGGGUAAAGUGUAGCACAGGCUGUGCUGCAGCUCAAGGAAUGGGGACCGAGGGCUGCAGCAGUGAGCUGUGCUUUCUGUCGGGCAGGCGAUGUGCUGACUGAUGCAAUGUGCCUUCUGUGUUGUUCUGAGCUAGGCACAGUUUAACACGCAAACUGAAGCCCUGAUUCAUGUUUGGCAAUAAAUUUGUGUAUUGGUCUACUGAGAGGCAGCUGAUGGAAAAUUUCACCAGCGAGACUGCCAAAACUAUUUGUAUAUUUCAUAGUUCAUAUUGUAAACUACUCGUAUGCGUCCCCAUGUCAUAUAUAUUAACUGACUCAACUCUCAAACGCUGGGGUCCAGCAAAACUGUCUUCUACAGAUCUGUCUGCAGAGGUUUUAGCAACAGUACUUGCUUUAACAAAGUUGUGGUGGUAUUUUCCUUCUGUGUAAGGUGUGGAGGGCUUGGUGUAAGAUGGUCCAAUGAUAGUGAAAACAGAUGUCUUAAUCGGCAGAGGAGGGCAGCUGCUUCUGCUCUGCUAAUCGGCAGAGGAGGGCAGGCAACACUUGGAGAAGUGGAAGCUUCUCCAGAAGAAAUGUGGCUGAGUAAAGUGAUGUGCGUGUGAAACACUCAGAAAAUGUUCUAUAAAACAAAAAGGAGACAGAGGAGCAAGAGGGAGUUGAGACUGAUUAUAUGGGGAAUGGGUUGAACAGAUUUCAAAGCAAGUAGUUUCUUAUGCACUAGGAAUAAUACUAACUCAAUCACAGAAAUCCAGAACAAAACCUAUGCUAUUGUAAAUACUGUUUGAUGUCUGUUCUGACUUAUGCUACCAUGCAGAUAUUAUUGAAACACUGUGAGCAUGAAAUUCAUUUUCCCUUUGUAGUUCUGAGGCACCUGCAGCUCCUGUGAGGGUGUGCUGCCCCUAGGCUAGGUGACGUGUGUGACAAGGAGACGUAGCUAACCAAGGAGCUUGAACUGAGAGUCAGGUAAAUUCCCAGCGAAAUGCUUUGUGGCCAUAUGGCUGACUGACCCGUAGAUUCCAGAGAGAUUCUUUCAAAAGCCUGCACGUUAUUUUAUGCUGUUGUAUUCAUGUUAUGAACUCAGAGAUGAUUCUUCAUGAAAGCUAUUUUGCAGUGUCUUCAGGCUAACGUAGGUGGUUGGGCUCUUCUCACCAACUUAGAGCAAAGCACGCCUGGCUGUUCGGCUCAUAGCAUUGAAGGCCCACUUGGUGGUGCUCUGGGAGACAAGGCCCAGAGGGCAGGUGGGCUAACAGAGGAGAGAAAGCACUGACAGCACCUUGCUGAAGAGAGAAAGACUCUCCCUCCUUCAUGUUUACAGCUAUGAAGAAGAAAGCAAAGUGAUCCUUUUCUACCUUAUUUCAGACAUAACAGCUGAUGUAUUCAUUGUGUUGUCAAAGCAGAUUAGUGUGUCACUUUAUUGUUUCAUACUUCAACUCCAGCUGAAAUAUCAAGCAUGCAGAAGACCUUAACAGUGAGUGGGUCCAUCUUGUGUCUCUGAAGGAAAGUGAUUAGACCUGGCUGUCAUUUGCUCCAAAGACAGCUGCUAAUUCUGCUUGGACAAAACACUCUUUUUAGCUGAACAUGGGCCACAAGAGUAGUUCUGGUUGCCCAUUAGUCUCAAAAAAAAGUUUUAUAUUAAAAAAAAAAAAAUCUUCAGAGAAGAGCAAUAAGGAUGAUCCAGACCAGCUUCUGUACAGAAGCUGAACUAAUGGCAUGCUUCAGUAUCAAGCAGAGAUGCUGCAGAGAAAUGUUAUGGAGGGUUAUGAAGCCAUCUGUCUGGAGGGUGACCAGUGAAUGAUUGCUCUCCGUCUCUUUCCCAGGCAUCACACUAUUCACCACUGUCAGAGAGGAGAUAGUGGGUGCUGUGGAUGUGCAGUGUGACGUGCCGUGGCAGUGCUGUGUUUUGCUGUGGAGUGCUGAGAUGUUACUGAGCAUGGGCUUCUCUUCAAGUGAAGGCCUGAGAUGUCAAACAAGGAGAGGUGUCAGAAAUCCCAAUCCCAACAGAGCCCUCUUAGGGGAAAGGAGCUGAUAACUGUGGGGUCUACUACUUGAUUUAGCAUUCAGUAAGCAGCUGAAGGUGAAAAGGACAGCUCUGGACAGCUGCUUGGGACACAACUACAAAAGGGCACGGUGAUGCACUAAGCACUUGAUCAGGUUAGCAAGUUACCCAGGUAGGUGAGGCAGGUGAGGAGCAGGACCCUGCGGGCAGCUGGAUUUUCAGUGGCACUGCACGUUAUUUUUUUCUGUUCAGCUGAAGUCACAGGUGCUGCAAUGCUUCUUGCUGGUAGGCUCUUGAGCUUUCAGCCGGGCACCCAUCCAGCCAUCCGUCACUCUUGGAUUUUGUCCACGGGAAACCAAAUGUGAUCUGAGAGUUGCCACCGCAGCAGAGACAUCAAACAGACACCUGGCAUUUAAUACAAACUGAGUUACUCAAGAGAAAUCAACUGUAAACUUCAGUACUGGAAAGCUGGAGCUCUGCAUGACUGUGCAGACUCUGCAUGUCUUACAGUGAAUCCAGGGGAAGCCUUCAGGACCGUCAGAGCUCGACAUGCCAGCCUGGCACAAUGUUUGAUGUCAGGGUGCAGUUAUAUAUGUGUAUGUUCAGCAGUAGUCAAGGGCACGUGGACCUCACCUUUGGGCAGUGUGGAGUUGACCUGUUCCUGUUCCCCUGGAGCACACCAAGAAGAAUUUAAUGACUUUUUGGUAUCUGUGUGCCCUGAGGCUUAUCCUCUCUGUAUUACCACAGCCAGCAGUGGAGGAGGGACUAACAAAAAGCGGAAAAGGACAAAGGAAAAACAAAACCUUCUAUCUCCAGCACACAAAAGACCACCUGGAACUACCACCAGGAGAUCCUGUCAGUGUUAGACUGUUUUUUUUUUUUUCAGGACAAAUCACACGCUUGGAAGCCAGCAGAAUCUGUGGAGCAGAUAAAUUCUUGUUCGUAUAGCCUAGCAGUAGAGUCAUAUAUUUCACUGUAACCACAAAUACAUACACUCGCUGCAAGUGUGAGAUGAAUGAGACUUGGAGGACAGUGAAAUAUGCAGCCUCCUGGGGCUUGAUCAGCAGCACACAGAAGGAACGUAGGCCUACCAGCUUGCCGUAGGUUUUGGAAAAGACUCUCAGCCCUAUUACAACCAGCCAGCCUGUCAUCUUCAGACUGGCUUGCACACACCCACAUCUAGCCUCCCACAGUGUGCACAGGAUUUCUCAUAGUGGUAAGGAAGGAAGGAGCAGUCUUCCUCAGCACAGCAAAAGCUGUGCUUGUGCCAAGUAUGCUGAGCUAAAGUAAUGUGUGAAACAAGGCUGGUGAUGCAUGAAAUGGUUUGGCUGUGCUGGGGUGGAACUGGGGACCUUCUGCAGUCCCUUGCAGGGAGGAAGAAGAGAAAUAUUUCUACUUUGUUUCUAUGUUUGUUUUGCUUUUUUUCUUAUUGUGCCAGCCAGAAAGACAUUGCUUCUUGGAAGUGUUGUUCCUUGUGAAGGAAAGCUAAGUUCUAUCAGGAAUGAUGCCUUAGAGCAUGGAAGCACCAAGCUUGCUUCUUCUAGGCCUGACAUCUCAGCCAGUGCUUUGUGUCCAACGUCGUUGUGCCUAAGGAGGAGGUCUGAUGCUGUUCUGCAUCUCCUAGAAGCAGGGCACCUCACCUUCACCCACUGGGAAGGUAAAAUGGCAACUGUAGAUGAGCUUUAUUUAUUCCAUCCAUGCAAUGUAUCUACAUUCAUAAAGCUCUUUUAUUCAUACCCUUGGCUUCCAGCACUUGUCCUUUAAAAUGAUAAUUCCAGACCAACCAAGCAACCUCCUACUGAAAUAAAACAUGUCAUCAUUUUACCUUUGGCUCUGUACGAGAUCUUUUGCAUAUCUUCUCCUAAGCCCCCCUCCCAGGACAGGCUGGGCAUGGGGAUGGCAGGAGCCAGCUGCUGGGAUGCUCCUGGUGCGCGAGGCUUGGGAAAUGCUCUGUGGCAGUGAUGUAAGAACAGACUGGUGAGUUAUUUCAGCUGUGCAGUAUGAUGUGAAGUGCAGUCAGACCUGGGGUGAUGAGCACUCCACGCUCCUCUGAUGCCAGGCUCAAGCCCCCAGCAAGCCUCUAUGAACAGAACUCACCUUUAUCUGGGGUGCCCAGCAGUUGGUAGAAAGCGUGCGGGCAAGGAUUUGUGCCUUCGCUUGGCAAAAAGUCGCAGGCCUUGGCUCAAGGUGCUGAGAAGUAAUUGUUAGAAAUCCUGAGUGCCGCAGGGAUCGGCCUCUGCGAAACGCCAACUCUGCGCAUCGGCUGCUCUGUGCCGGGCAGGAAGCUGGGAGCAGGACAGCACCCCGACAGCAAGCGGGGCGUCGGGCUGCGAGCGCUUUGGUGGCACAGCGGUGCCCGCCUGGCUGUGCGGCACGGAGCUGCGGCGGGCUGACCUGCAGGAGAGGGCGCUGCGGGCCCGUGCUGCGCAGCCGGGCAGAAAUGCGUGCCUGCAGAGCUUGCAGAUAAUGUGCCGCGCAGCGCAGACGAUGACGGGCACAAAACAGCAGCGGGGUUCACCUUGGAGCUCCGAGAUUUCUUCCUUCUCGGGGCAGCUUUACACCGAACAACCUAAAGAGGGGAGGGAAGAGCUCGUUGCUACCCACCUGUACAAAACAGGGAGCCAGUGAAUUUCUGAACUGUGAUGGGCAGAGGGCUCUGUUUGCCUUGGAGGGUGUUUCUGGUGGAUUAAUGUGCUUUAGAGGUCAGUUGCUGCUCACCGGAAAAGCUGGUGGGUUUUGGUUCAUAUGAUCAGUUGUUUUUUCCUUCUCCUUCUGCAUCAGUUUUUCCUGAGAAACAUCCAGGCCUGAAGGUUUUUGGUAGGAAAGAAUGCUAGAAAUGGUCCAAAUCUACAUGAGAAAAGGGGUAUCAUGUCACAGGCAUUUGUUCUCUCCCAUUUCCAUGGAAACAUGCUAGCAUGGACUUUGGUUUCAGGCAGAGCAGCCUGGCAAGGUCUAGUUGACUCUGGGAUGAGCUGCUGGCAGCAACACGCAGAAAAGUGGCUUGGACUCUUCGGGUUUUGAGAGACAAGGUAUACCGGCCCUUCAGAAAAACAGUGCUUAGUAUAUAGCAUCGUAAGCGACAGAUGUAAAAAAGAUUUGAUUCCCAGCCCCCCCUUCCCCCCCUUCCCAUCCUUCCCUUCCUUGUCCCACUGCCCCGUCCAGUCCUGCUGAGGAAACAGCAUACACCGCAGGCUACAAUUUUUAAUUUCCUGGGGGUGGAGAGCACAUCGUAUAGCGACUGACAGGCUUUUUGUUCUGCGUCAGUCCUUUUAUUAACCCCCUGCUAGAUCAUUCACUCUCUCUGCUUAGCCGCCCCUGCUGCGUUAGUGAUGAGAGCGUUUGUAACAGCAGGUCUGCCUUGGGAGAUUAUGGGGAUCCCGUGGACAGGGAGCAGUGGGUUGGUCGCUGUGCGUGCACAGAUUGCUAGCUGCAGCUUUGCCUCCAUCUGCCCUCUCUGCUGGCCUGCAUACCUUUCAUUAUCCCUGUAGCGACAGCAGUCGCCUGGCCGAUCCCCCGGGGCAGCGCCGCGUUGCCCCAUUGGCGGAUUUGCUGUCCCAUCUGUGCAGGAAGAAGCUCGGUGGAGGCAAAAGCGUCCCUUUGUCAUCCUGGGCGGUUAUUUCCUUUUUCUUUUGGUUUAGGCUGUUGGCGGUGGUUGGUUAGUCAGCCUAAUUUUGGGAUGCUCACACAAGUUUUAAUUAGCUGCAGUUAUUCACUUAUUUCCUCCCUGCUUCCCUCCCACAUCACUCAGAAUUCAGAAACACCCCCUAACGCAGUGUGCCCUGCGAUCAUUGUCCUCCAGGCCAAUCCUGAACCUUUCAAUCUGCGAUCAAUACCUUCGUCUGUCAGCCACGAUUAAUUAAACGGAAUCCCACUUUCAGGGCUUUGAUUCAUAUCGCCCCAGAACAGCUUACUAUGUGCUAUAAUCCAGACGUGAUUCUAAUACUGGCCUCGAGUGAGAGGGAGGGGCUGACUGAUACAUCAAAAACAACUUCAUUACAAAGCUAAGCGAUGCACGACCUCUUGUUGUAAGGCAGGUGCUAAGUAGGUGGCACCGUGGUCUUCUCUAGAGCCUGGCUGCUUCAUUUGGGGGAAUAAUGCAACUGAAACCAAAGGUGUGAGCUAGGGUAUUACUCUGAGAAGCAGAGUUGGGCCCAGCACCAUCGCUCUGAUGUCUGCGCCAUCUGCGUGGGUGUGUCGUGCUCUGCAGAGGCUGCUUCUUUUGGCCAGAGGUUGUGGUUUUGGAAUUUGAUCUGGUUCUGAAUGGUAAUUCGGUAUCUGAAGACUGUUCUGGGCUUCCUGGCUCUGGUUUGUGGUGGCCCAAGCCAGAGUGUCAAAGAUGCUAUAAUAAAAUUCUUAAGAAUGGUAGAACUGUUUUACUUAAGAUCCUUCUGAUGCAUUUAGUAAUUCUCUUCUCAGAGCACAGAGUGGUAAAAGUGAAGAGGGGUGUGAAGCCAAGCCAUGCAGUGGUGAAGCAGGGACCGGAUCCAGGAUUCAUGACUCCUUCUUCUUUGCUGUCUUCCUUGGACAGAAAAGGAGGUCAGAUCAAAAAAGGGUAAUUUGAAUCUGUGCCAGGCCUUAAAGCAAGAGAGCCACGACCUUUUUUGCUGAUGCUGACCAUGUGUCUUAACCAGACAGCAUUUUCUCCUUUUUUUUUUUCCUUUUUUCCCCCAUCUCUGAUUCAGAGGCAGGCUGUCACUGCCUCUCUUUCCCUGAAACACAUCCCUUGCACCUUUACCCUCAGGACUUCAAAUGGCCUCAGAUCCAGCCCUGAAGAGUCUGAGGGCAGAUGUUGUUAUUCAGAAAGGGCAGGCAUCUCAGCAAAUCUUCAGGUGAUAAGAGAUGAUGUUUUCUGGCUUCCAGCCCCCUGGUAGAAAACAAAGUUGAUGAUGAUGCAGAGUCAUGACCUCAGGACUGGGAGCAGCAAAUGCUUGAGCUCUCCAGCAGUCCUCAGUGCCCAGUUUCAUCUGUCUGACUAUCUGGGGGUUUCCAGGAUGUUCUGCAGCUUCCAAAUGAUAGAUGUGUUUUGUUUCGUGCCCUCGUAGCACAAAUGACUUUUGAAUCAUUACUCAAGAAGAAUGCACAGGCUGUGCAGGAUCUGUGCUGUGUGAUAGAGGAGAUUGCAGUGUUUGUCCAGCACAAGCAGGAGCUUGUUCGCAGUGCUGGAGCUGUUCAGCUUGUCCUGCCUGGCCGAAUUUACACCUCAGUGGUACGUAACGGGCAGAGGAAACAGCAGGAACACAAAGCACAAAGUGGUCUGGUCACUGAGUUUGCCUCGCUGACAGAGCACACAGAAUUUCACAAUUGUUUAGCAGAGAGGAAAAACCAAUAUGUGAAACUUGCAAAUUAAUUUGUUGGGAGUUUGUUGUGGCGUUGUUGCCUUUUACAGAAGAUUGGAAUGGUAGCCGGGCUGUUACGUUGCCUGCACUUUAAGCUUUGGUUUGUAAAUAGCAAAAUCUUUGUGAACAGAAUGAUUUUAGGUUCAUGCAAGCCAAAAAAAUGCCAAUUUCUCUGCUACCCCCCUAGGAAAAUAGAGCAAUGGGAUUUAAUAGAGCAAUAAAACACAGAGCCUUUGUGGGUGAAAAGUGUUAGCCUUAGGUUCAUUGGAAGAUACAGAAACAAAGGCCACUUUGCUUUCGUCAGCCACUUGAAGAGUACAGACCCCCCGUCACACUCGCAGGGUGAGAGGCUUUGCUGGUAAAGCUUUAUUGCCAGUAUAAAAUGAAAAUUGCCCACAAAACAUAGAAGAGAAAAUUCGUAUCUGUGCAUUUGAGUGCUGUGCCUGGUAUGACAUCACUGUUAGCCAAUCAGCAAGCUCCCUUUGUGUCUGGCUUUCUAAUAAAAGCCACUUCAUCAGAGUAAUUUGCAAUAGUAAUUUAUUCACCUUCUAGGAAUGACACCACCUGACUCUUAACAGGCAGAGAGCAUGCAGGGAUCUCAAGGGCUAGGUGCUGCAGCUAUGUCCUGGACAAGCAUAUCUCUAACACCAAUGUGUUAAGAGUUGUGUUCAGGUUGCAGUUAAUGUGAUUACUUGUAUUAAUUAAUUGCCCUAUGGUUGGGCACUCCUAAACAUCCUCAGCACUGCAGAGCAAAAUGUCACUGUGGCUGUGGGAGAGGGGAGUAGCACUGUGGCCAUGUAGCUGGUCUCAGCACACUAGGGCAGGGAUUGAUGGCUUCCCCAUGCUUUGCAGGUGUGUAUGGAACAAGGUGCUGUUUCGAAUGGAAACUUGGCUGAAUUUGGCCAUUUUGAAUUUCAGGUUUGCCUGAAUGAGGCACAGGGAACACUGAAGUGGAGGCAUGGAAAGAGAGAGGGCAUCAAAGCGUUGUGUACAGCUCACUUGCCUUGUACUAAGCAGGGAAGGAUCUGGAGUGCCAGAGUGGUGUGGAUAUGGCCUCAACCUGCUGUGUGAAGAGAAACCUUCUCUCCAUGCUGUGAUAUCCCAUAGGUCUUCUGUGAUAUGAAAUGUGGCAGUCCAGUACUAUAUGCAGUGAGUAAUAGCCCUGUGAGCAUGUGUAGGCAUGGAGAUGCUGAGGCAUGACGGCAGGCAGCUCUAAAAAGAAGUUCCUGAGUCAUUAAAAAACAUUGCGUAGAGUGAGGUCCUGGAGAGCUCUGGGGCUGAGUCUGUAUUCUGCAGGUGUAAAUUACCCUUACCAGACUCUGUAUAGGCAGUGCAGCACACAAAGGCACAGAAUAGGCACCAAAACAUGAAGACAACUGGAAUAAGAGAUCACUUCUGCUCUGAAUAAUUUGCUUUAUUGCACAGUGAGAGAAAGCAGCAGAGCUGAGAACAGCAAGCAGAUGCCCUGAGUCAGUCCAAGAAACGCACCAGCAUAACCAUGGGCAUGCUGGUAAUGGAGAUGUCAAUUGGGAAUGCAGCUGGGCUAAACACCAACAGCUGAUAGGUGGCAGAGUGAUGGGAUGUUGUCACAGCAGCCCUGCUUUCUGGUAGAGCUGGCAGCAUUGCUGCCUCAGGGUCACCAGGGUAUCUACGCAGCAUUUGGUUUUGAAAUUAAAAAACAAAAUCCAAAUAAUUCAACUAGCGCAAUUAAUUUGCUCUGUAAAUCUUUUUGCAAGCAUGUUUAAGUGGGCUUUUUGUCAGGAGCUUCUCCAGGAGUUUACCCUCACCCCGUGUGCAGCAUUGAUCCUGGAGAGCAGGACAGCUGCACAUGAUGAAUAACCUACCUCUCGCUAUUCCUUAAUGAAGUGUUUAACCAACAGUCCAUACUGCUCUGAUGGGGUCUAUUAUGAUUCAGGUUGGAGGAGCCACUUAAGGAGGCACAGCCUUGUUAGCUUCAUGGAAAGCUAACGAAGACCAGACCCUGUGCCUUUGUGAGUGCUGGAGGAGCGGGGAGUGCGAGGAGCCACAGGCAGUAAAUGUCUGCAGGGCUGAGUAAGUAUUCCCCUUGGAUUCCUAAGGCAAUCUACCAGAUAUGCUUUUCAGUCUCUCACUGGGGCUGGAAUGUUUCUUCAGGUGUUUCUAAAACAAACAGGGCCAUUUAAAACAAACAGGAGACCGUGGCUGCAGCCCACGCGUGGCACAGAGGACGGCGAUGAGGAGGGUCUGUUCCUAUGCCACGAGGUACCCUCAAACCUGCUCAGAUCUGUGCUACAGCCAACUUGCUGAGUACUGGAACUUCUGAGCACUGCACAGCUCCCUUUUCAGCCAGGCCUUGGCUCAUUCUCCUGUGCUGUAUGGUGGCACUGGGAUUUCAGGAAGGGCUUUGCUGUUUGGAUCUUGCUCGUUUGGCUGGUUGAGUUGCAUUCAUCCUGUUUUAAAACAGUGACCUGGGCUGGAUGAGUAAAGUGGAGGUAACUGAGGAGAGAGAAGGGCUGUGGUAUUGUGUCUGUAGGACUGUUUUAAGUGUUGUUUAUUGAUUUACUUUGAAAAUAUGUCCUCAGUCUCAUCUGAGUGCAGUGAAAGGUGACAGAACUCCAGAGCAGAAGGGUUUAUAACAUAUGUUCUAAGAAUUGCUUGUCAUACCUGAAGGGAAAAUGGAAGGGUAACAUAAACACGCACAAAGCUUUAGGAUAAUGGCUAUUACUGUGCAGAGACAGCAGUCUCAGGGUCUGGAAUGAUCUGAUGAAGUCUUGUAAUGGGAAUUUGGACAAAAAUAUGUUAUACAGCCCCGAUUCUCUUUGUAAAUGAAGCUUCAUAGGAGAAUCUCAGAAUUUCUGUAGCAGGUAUGUGGGCAAUUUUUGAAAGAGCGGGCCUUGUUGUCCUUACUGUCCUGCUGCUCCUCUUGGAACCUGGCUUCCAAAUAACCUCUGCUCAACCCUGAAACCAGCUCAGCACAGAGUACCUGUCAGUCAGGGAGGAUUGUUGUAUGAGGAGUUUACAUUUACUGUCUUGUAGCGCUAGGAGAGAGGCAAUCACUUCUUGGCAUAGCUCAUUUAUGAAUCAAGGCUGCAUAACAUCUUGCUUCCAUCAGGAUUUGAGCCUUAAAAGCAGUUUGCCUUUGCUGUGCAGGCAGGGACAGAACAAUGUCUAGACCACCUACUUAAGUGGUUAAGUGCCUCACCCGCUCUUCCCCGUUACUUUAGUCAGGCAUUUCCAGGCAUUAAAAUAUCUGACUCUUUAUUGUCCUCAGAUCAGGCAACAGCAAAAUUGCCUCCACCUGGUUUAAGUGCCAGAAUAGGUCCUGUUAAUACAACCCCACUGGUGCAUUCCCAGUGCCUCUUUCCCCUCCCUCUGGCAUGCAAGACUUACAGAGUGUCUCUACGCAGCUAGAAAUGGAUCCUCUUUUUCCAAAAUCUCUUUGUAAUAUUGGGCUCUCAAGGCAACUACCUAAAAUCUGGA